Molecule: long non-coding RNA, 4632 nt
Filed under: Carica papaya (papaya)
Lineage: Eukaryota; Viridiplantae; Streptophyta; Magnoliopsida; Brassicales; Caricaceae
Description: long non-coding RNA (CPAP_LNC009559)
Source: RNAcentral
GCUCACCAAUGAAGAGGCCACAUACAAAUCUACUGAGUUUUUAAUCUUGAGUGUUUGCAUAAGCCUUGCCUAAGGUUUAUGUCAACUACUCUAGGCUUGCCCCAGGCCUACGCUAAUUCUUCUGAGAUAUUUACACGAGCCUUGCACUAGGCUUGAUCAUGCCACUUAUUUAAUUUGAGGUAUUCGCACAAGCCUUCCCAAGGCUUAUGCCAUAACCAUAUCUGGGAUUAAUUUAGGGAUGUUCGCAUAAGCCUCACCCAAGGCUUAUCCCAAGGCCAUUUGACACCCAUUUCAAUUUAUUUUUGCCCUAAACCUUUCUCUUUUUAAUUAUCACAAUAGCCACUUCACCUCUCUUCUAUCAAAACAAAAAACACUUUUUAUUUGCUCUACCUGAACCUCCCUCUUCUUGCUUACAACUUCCACCCAAAGUUAACCUCCCUCCACUCCAAAUAUCCUUCAACCAUAUGAAAUAAAGACGAAGGAAGUUUUCCCUAAAUAUGGCCGAUUAGAAAAUAAAAGGCUUUGAACCACUAGUGAGACAAAAACACAAACACAGUCGCCUCUAGCAACACCCAAACUCCAAAUCACAUGAGAGGAACAAGCUUCACUCUAAGUGCAAGUGGUUCUAAGAUGGCCGACCAACACUAUAGCCCCAUAAUUGACAUGCUCGAUUCUCUGACUCGAGAGCAAAAUGCACAAAACCCCAGAAUAAGUUGCAUAAGCAACUCUUGAAUGAAGAAGCAGCAAACUGUUGCCUUUCUCUUAUUGUCUUUUAAUAAACUCAUCAUAUGACUUGAUAAUUUUGAGUUGGUCUUCAUAGGCGUCCCUUCUUGACAAAGCUGUCAAAACAAGGGUAAGGCUUCCCAUUUGAAUAAAGUAUUGAUUCCUUUCACCAGCAUGGCUAACAUCUCGAUUAUAUUGCCACGGCCUGCCUAACAAUAAGUGCCCUAUUUGCAUGGGAACCAUGUCGCACAAUAUCUGAUCAAUAUAGUUACCAAUAAAAAAUGAGACACGUACUUGCUUGGUGACACUGAUCUCCUUACUGUCAUCCAACUAGUAUAGCUUAUAGGGACAAGGAUGUUGUUCACAUGUUAACCCUGUUCGAUCCACUAGUAAGCCGUUGGCAAUGAUAGUAUAACUGCCUCCAUCAAUUACCACACUACAGACCUUUCCAUUGACCAGGCAUCUGGAGUAGAAAAUUAUUUCCCUUUGACCAUUGCCAUUGGGCUUAACUUGUAUGUUCAGUGCUCAUUGAGCCAUAAACACAUCUCUAUGUACUAAUUGAACGACACUUUCUCUACUUGCACCCACUGAUGGAAGAUUUUUCUACUCAUUACUGCUCUCAUGAUCACUGACAAUAUUUUCAUCAUCUCUGGUGAUCAUGGCGCGCUAAUGGGGAUGUUGAGAUGGAAUAUGCCCAACUUCUAGGCACUUGAAACAUUUAAUAGUGCUUUGGCGAGUAGUAAGUGCCUUAGGAUUACCUGUUGAGUUGUCAGUGGGUUAAUUUCCCUUACUGUCAUCCACUUUUUUGCCUUCAUCCCCUCGAGUCCACCUUUGAUUACCCUAGGGAUUGUCACUGACAUAUCCUUAGUUGGUUCCUCUAACCAUUAGUUUCAUUUCAAUCUUGGUAGCCUUGUGUACCGUCUCUUCCAAAUUGACAUAAUUUUGAAGUUCAACGACGUUGGCUAUCUCCUUAUUUAGGCCCUCCAAGAACCAAGCCAUGGUAGCUUUUGGCCGUUCGUCUAUUUGGGCCCUAACCAUAGUUAUUUCCAAUUUCUUGUAGUAUUUUUCCAUUAACUUGGAGCCUUGAGUUAGGUGUUGCAGCUUCAUAUUCAUGUCCCUGUCGAAAUGGGUUGGUAUAAACUGUUUCCUCAUAAUGGAUGUUAACUCUCUCCAAGUGGUGAUUUGUAACACCCCGCCCAUCACUGUGCUUAAAUUAUUUGAAAACCCUAUUUAUUCGAGUCUUUGGUCAUGUUAAACUUAAUUAAUUUACGCUACUUAAUAAUUAUUGUAAUUUUGGUUGAUUUAUUAUUUAUUUAAUUUUUAUUUGAUUUUCUUUUAAUUAAUUUUAUUUUAAUUUAUUGUAAUUAAACUAAGUCUAACUCGUUUAAAUUAAAUAUAAAAAUUAAGAAAAAAUUAAAAAAUGGUGAAUCGGGAAGAAAAUCUCGUAGGAAAAAUCCUGCGGGGAAUUGUGCGCGUGCGAAUGCGCACAGAGUAGCUGCGGGACAUGCGCACGAUCCACACUCACGCACGCAUGAGACAUGCGCACAACGAGCAUGUCCCAUCUGCACUCACGCACGCACAAGACGUGCUCACAGCGAGCAUGUCCAAUUUGCACGCCUGCACGCACGGGAUGUGCGCAUAGUGCGCACAUCCCCUUUGCACACAUGGUAUGUGCGCAUAGUGCGCACAUCCUCUUUGCACACAUGGCGAAGGGUCAGGACUUGCGUGCGUCCUAUUGAGCGUAGGCGAGCAAUCCGUGUGUCACAUCGCACGCGAACAGGCACAACAAACUAUGCGCAGCUAGUCGGCACAGUAGGCCUUCGGGUGGUGCCCAGCACGCCAAGGCCCUGCACUCGUGGCAGGAGACCUGUGCACCUGUAGGCUAGCCUAUAAUGCGCCGCUGCUGCCUCAAGCGACAUGCCAUCGUCGCUGGUGGAGGAGGCCCUCCUCCCUUUUUUUUGUGCGAAAGCAUUUUUUCUCAUUUCUCUUCAUCGGAUGUUACCACUUGGCGUGAAUCUGACAGUUUCAAAACUCUAUAAAUUACCCUUCCCCUUCCUUCGCUCUCUACACUUCCAUUCUUUCAUUUUUUUUAAAGAUUUAAAGAGAGAGAGAUAGUAGUCUAGUGGGAGAAGAAGAGAAAGAAAGGAGAACGGUGAAGGAAAAAAACAUCAAGGUCUCGAUAAAGAAUCUAGUACUUCUUUCGACGUCUUAAGGAGUAUUUUUAGAUAAAAUAAAUUAAUAUGAUUGUUAUUUUUCCUGUUUUGCAUGCCUUUGUGUUUAGAUAAGUGGAAUUAUUUUUGUUUUCAAGCAUGCUAUGUGAAUUACAGACAGUUGAUGAAUUUGCAUGUAAUAUAUAUAAUAUGUAUUCUGUAACAGUAAAAAGUAUAAAAUAAAAGAAAAAGAGAAAAGUGGAAUGAAGCCUGUAUAGUCUGAAGUGUAUUUGUAUUGACAUGCAUAUUGUAUCAAGUGUCUCACUAGAUUUUUUAUCUCUGAAGGGUAUCUGUUCCUCUUGCCAUUCGGGGUAUCUGUUUUUCCCUUCCCUAUCUGGUCUAGAAAGACAUAAGAGGACCGCUCCCAAUGGAUGGUGGCGUACACUCUAACGAGAGUGGUAUCACACUCUCUGUAGGGGUCACCCGUGAUCAGUAAUGUCGUGAUUGUGAAUAUUUGUUAAGGCCACUACGGCUGGUACGACCGUGGUCAUAGAUCGUACCAUGGUUUGGCCAGUUAGAAAUGGGCUUGAGCAAAUUGUCAUAUCUGUAUCUGAUCUUGUCAUUCUACUUGGGUAGUUGAAAAUCUGUAUCUGCCCUGAAAGAUAGAAGUUAUGACGACUUCGUGAAGCAUGACACUAAAAUUUGAGCAUUUCAUGAUUUAUUUGAUUUUGUCUAUUAUCUGCCAUGACGUAUGUUUUGUUAUCUGUAUUAACGUAUCGUUUUCUUAACAAAUAAAUGAUUUUUCAUAAUGUGAGAUAGGUAAACGAGGAGGUUAAAUGGUAAGUUAAAAUAACUAACUUUUGAAAUCUUAUGAUGUUAAUUUAAUAUUAUUUUUCUUACUGAGCAUAUAAAACUCACUAUUUCCAUGCCCCCCAGAUGAAGAAAAAAGUGAAAAAUCGCAGGUUGACCUACCCUUAGAAGUCUAUGAGGAUCCCGUAGAUUCAUAAAUCUGAGUGCAUGACUAUUCCCGCACUCUGAUGAGUCCAAUAGCAUAAUGAAAGAAGUGGCCCUUAUGUUUUGUUUUCUAUUUUGCAGCCACUUAUGGCCUCAUUAUAUGUAUGUAUAGAUCUCAUAUGUAUUUAUAAGGGAUUUGUAAUAAUUUCAUUCCGCUACAUAAAUUUUAUCAUACACUCGUUAUUCUGAAUAUGUAUCUAACACCCAUUUGCUUUAAUUAGCAAAUGGGAUGUCACAUGAUUGGCAGGUCCCCAUUUUGUUCACGGAGAAGGGCUAUUUGAUCACACCAUACUGAGGCAUAGCCUGUAAAUUCAAAGGUGACCAACUUAAGCUUUUUUUCUUCACUAUAGUGGCGGUAGCUGAAGAUGCAGUCAGUCAUCCACUCCCACUCAAGAUAGGCUUCAGGAUCAUUUUUUCCCUUAAAAGUUGAUAUAUGGAACUUAAAGUCAUGGAGGUCUCCAUCUGCCUCUUCGCGACGGCCUCCCUGUCUGUCGCCAACUUCAUCACCAUAAGAUCUUGUUUUUUCCCGUGUUAUUUGGCAUCAGGCACGAUUGCGAUUGUCUCCCUGUUCCAGAUGAUCCAUGCGGGCAGCCAUGUUCCCCAUUUGGAAACUUAACUGAGUGAACAUGUCCAGAACCCUCUCUUUUAUGGUUACUUGUAACACCCCACUCAUCGUGUGCUUAAUUAAUUUGAAAAAUCAUAUCUGUUUGGGCCUUUAGGCUGCAUUGAACUCAUUUAAUUUGCU